AGAGUUUGAUCCUGGCUCAGAUUGAACACUGCGGCAGGCCUAACACAUCCAAGUCGAGCGGAUGAGUGGAGCUUGCUCCAUGAUUCAGCGGCGGACGGGUGAGUAAUGCCUAGGAAUCUGCCUGGUAGUGGGGGACAACGUUUCGAAAGGAACGCUAAUGCCGCAUACGUCCUACGGGAGAAAGUGGGGGAUCUUCGGACCUCACGCUAUCAGAUGAGCCUAGGUCGGAUUAGCUAGUUGGUGAGGUAAAGGCUCACCAAGGCGACGAUCCGUAACUGGUCUGAGAGGAUGAUCAGUCACCCUGGAACUGAGACACGGUCCAGACUCCUACGGGAGGCAGCAGUGGGGAAUAUUGGACAAUGGGCGAAAGCCUGUUCCUUACAUGCCGCGUGUGUGAAGAAGGUCUUCGGAUUGCUCUUUAAGUUGGGAGGAAGGGCAGUAAGUUAAUACCUUGCUGUUUGACGUACCGACAGAAAA
RNAcentral lists this ribosomal RNA (477 nucleotides) under uncultured Pseudomonas sp. RNAcentral's name for it is "bacterial SSU rRNA". It matches the Rfam family "Bacterial small subunit ribosomal RNA", at positions 8 to 488 of the family's 1533-position model. Lineage: Bacteria; Pseudomonadati; Pseudomonadota; Gammaproteobacteria; Pseudomonadales; Pseudomonadaceae. The record is from RNAcentral.